Molecule: unclassified non-coding RNA, 390 nt
Filed under: Paenibacillus uliginis N3/975
Lineage: Bacteria; Bacillati; Bacillota; Bacilli; Caryophanales; Paenibacillaceae
Description: transfer-messenger RNA
Rfam family: transfer-messenger RNA
About the family: Bacterial tmRNA, also known as 10Sa RNA or SsrA, is named for its dual tRNA and mRNA-like properties. Its role is to liberate the mRNA from a stalled ribosome.
Source: RNAcentral
GGGGGGAAGCGCCUUGACGUUGCAUCAAAGCCCCGUUGAUUCCGGGUUCAUUUGCAUCGCCUGUCACAGCUCCCAAAUAAGGCAUUCCAGCAUAAUCACUCCAAUCCUCAAACGUCCAUCCAAAUACCUCGCCAUAAAACUUCUUAGCACGUUCCAUGUCAUCUACAUGAAUUUCGAAAUGAACUAGUCGGCCCAUGAUUUCCUCCUAUGGUUUGACUUCCUACAUUUUUUAUUAUUAUACUAUCCUUUUUCACUAAAAAUAUAAAAUUUAAUUGAAAAUUUUUUGUGGUCUGUGCGAGGCUAGGGUGACAUAAAAAACCGUGACUACACUCGUAGAAGCUUAUGUUGCGUUAUCUUCGGACAGGGGUUCGACUCCCCUCGCCUCCAUAC